GACGAACGCUGGCGGCGUGCUUAACACAUGCAAGUCGAACAGUGGCGAACGGGUGAGUAAUGCUUGGGAAUCUGGCUUAUGGAGGGGGAUAACGACGGGAAACUGUCGCUAAUACCGCGUACCAUAGGAUGAGCCCAAGUGGGAUUAGGUAGUUGGUGGGGUAAUGGCCUACCAAGCCGACGAUCUCUAGCUGGUCUGAGAGGAUGACCAGCCACACCGGGACUGAGACACGGCCCGGACUCCUACGGGAGGCAGCAGUGGGGAAUAUUGCGCAAUGGGGGCAACCUGACGCAGCCAUGCCGCGUGAAUGAAGAAGGCCUUCGGGUUGUAAAGUUCUUUCGGUGACGAGGCGUUAAUCACAGAAGAAGCACCGGCUAACUCCGUGCCAGCAGCCGCGGUAAUUC
Molecule: ribosomal RNA, 404 nt
Filed under: uncultured bacterium
Lineage: Bacteria
Description: partial 16S ribosomal RNA
Rfam family: Bacterial small subunit ribosomal RNA
Source: RNAcentral